CCUACGGGAGGCAGCAGUGGGGAAUAUUGCACAAUGGAGGCAACCCUGAUGCAGCGACGCCGCGUGAGUGAAGAAGGAUUUCGGUAUGUAAAGCUCUAUCAGAAGGGAAGAAAAUGACGAUGCCUGCUUAGGAAGCAGCGGCUAACUACGAGCCGCCAGCCGCGGUAGUACGUAGGGGGCAAGCGUUAUCCGGAUUUACUGGGUGUAAAGGGAGCGUAGAAGGCAGCGCAAGUCGGAAGUGAAAUGCCGGGGCUUAACCCCGGAACUGCUUUGGAAACUGUGCAGCUAGAGUGCAGGAGAGGUAAGUGGAAGUCCUAGUGUAGCGGUGAAAUGCGUAGAUAUUAGGAGGAACACCAGUGGCGAAGGCGGGUUACUGGACUGUAACUGACGUUGAGGCUCGAAAGCGUGGGGAGCAAACAGGAUUAGAUACCCCUGUAGUC
This 440-nucleotide ribosomal RNA is filed under the name uncultured bacterium. Its description in RNAcentral is "partial 16S ribosomal RNA". It matches the Rfam family "Bacterial small subunit ribosomal RNA", at positions 338 to 795 of the family's 1533-position model. The record is from RNAcentral.